This 257-nucleotide ribosomal RNA is filed under the name uncultured bacterium. Its description in RNAcentral is "partial 16S ribosomal RNA". It matches the Rfam family "Bacterial small subunit ribosomal RNA", at positions 524 to 776 of the family's 1533-position model. The record is from RNAcentral.
UACGUAGGGCGCAAGCGUUUAUCCGGAAUUAUUGGGCGUAAAGAGCUCGUAGGCGGUUUGUCGCGUCUGCCGUGAAAAGUCCGGGGGCUCAACUCCGGAUCUGCGGUGGGUACGGGCAGACUAGAGUGAUGUAGGGGGAGACUGGAAUUCCUGGUGUAGCGGUGAAAUGCGCAGAUAUCAGGAGGAACACCCAUGGCGAAGGCAGCUCGCUGGCCUACAACUGACGCUGAGGCGCGAAAGCGUGGGUAGCAAACAGG